UAGGCACUUUAAUCCCUUACACAGCUCUUUCCUUAAACAAAUAGCAUUUUUGGAGGGGAGAGAAACCCUGCUUAUUGAAUAAUGUUGCACAAUAUGAAAAGUCACCAGUCUGAAACACCAGGCGUUACAUGAAGUAUGGCUAAAUUUCAUUAAAACGUUCUCAUUCGACAGUGACAAAUAGUGAAAAGGACUCCUUUUGUACCUUUUUAUGUCCACUUUCUUUUCUUGCUAGUUCGAUCUUCAAUCCGAUACAACCUUGUCAACCCGUGCUCUGCGUGAUCAUGUGGUAUACUUUUUACUGAAUCGUUGAUAUCAGGAAAAGCUUAGUGACGCAAUGCAAGUACUAAAGGGGUUGCCAGGGUUGGGACUGGAAGUUGUCUUGUUCUGCAAACAAAAUAGAUCUGUAAGGAUGCCAUUGAUGUGUGACAGCCGUCCACCUUCUUGCAAUUCUGCUUUCUGAGGCGUUGAGCCCUGUGGUACCCAAUCAGCAUGGUACCUACUGUAUUUCUUUGCAAGGUGCAGUUUACUUUCUGAGUCCCCAUCAGCUAAAUUAAGCAAAAGACCCUAGGAGAAAUGUUUACUUGAAUGUUAUGCUCCCUCACUUGAUGGUGUCCCAUAGCAAAUGUGCCACUGGCAAACAAAUGUCCAGGAUUAACUAGGCACAAAUGACUGUGUCCCAUUAACUGGAAUUCAGGAGUCAGUACGGGACAGUAUUAAUUCAGUAGCGUAAAUGAAGAAAAAAACUAAGCGAAAAUGUAUUAACAUGAUUAAAUGGCAAAAGGACUUUGGCAAGGCAAGGGCAUUAACCUGCGGUCCUGCACAGAAUUAGAGAUUGCGUGCCGCUCCCAUCGUUCCCAGGGAUCUUGUCUUCUGCACCAGUCCUGUGUCCCUUUGAGGAAGGCGGGUAAGUGGAGGCCCUGUAGCUGGGCUGUUGCAACGUAGUGUCUUAGCUAUAGAUGGGGACAUCAGGGGUGCCACCGUUGUAGAAGUGUGGAAAAAGCACCUUGUGUGUAGUAAUGUAUUUUGUAUCUUUAUUUUUUUCUUUGACUGUUUAUAAUAUAACACUCAAUUGACAAUAGAUAUGAACUGUAUUUUAAAUCAUAUUGUUAAAUAUUUUCCCUCUUUUGUUGGGAAGCCCAUUUCAGUUUAACUGUGUCUGUUUGUUGAUAGCUUACCUGGAAGGCAGUGAACACUUUUUUAUAUUCUCUUAAUGAAACCAUUCAGCAGGUAUAUGCUGUUGAGGCUGGUUAUACAGGUUUUCUAUAAUAAAUGUUCAAGUAUUUUUGUACAUAACUCGUUAAUUUUAAUAAGAGAUACCGUUAUGUGUAAAAAAAAAAGUAAAAAUAAAAGCAAACAGUUGUUGAUGCAGUAUGAUUGUUAUAAUUAUGCCAAAUACUUUAUGUAUGGGAAAAAGAAUAUUUGUACAUAUGUGCUUUUAACAAUAAUUCUGCCAUAUUGACUUUACAGUUUUGAAUGUCAGAAAAAUUAAUAUAUGUUUAAAAUAUUUAUGUUUAGUGGAAGUAUUCAUAAUGGAGAAAAGGAACAUAUGAAUUUUAGCUUUGUAUCUUGCAAGUUUUGCAAUUGGAAAAUCUCUUGAAAUAGGUUUUGCUUUUGAUGGUAACACUCUGUGUUUGUAAUUACAUCCUUCAAAUAUAUCUAUAUAUAUGUAUGUAUAGCAAACUCAGUAUUUCUGCUUUAAAGUAAAACCUUCCUUUUAAGUAAGAUGAUAUGCAUAAGAUAACAAAGCUUCUUUGAUUUCCUUUUUCUGUGUAAUUUAAUAGAUUUCUUGACUACUGCUUGGGCACAGUAUAAAUCAGUGUUAUUUGCUCUUGGAGCCACUUUUUGAAGUUUCUGGCAGUGAACAGCCGACUCUACCAUGUGCGUAAUGGCAACUCUGCAUUGAUACCA
Ochotona curzoniae (black-lipped pika) is the source of this 1908-nucleotide long non-coding RNA. RefSeq lists it as uncharacterized. The record is from RefSeq and is a predicted model, not a curated record. The transcript has 4 exons. NCBI's taxonomy places the organism in Eukaryota, Metazoa, Chordata, Mammalia, Lagomorpha, Ochotonidae.